AAACAUCCUUUUGUGUGUAAGUGUGCAUUAGUACAUGCUAACGAUAUUCAAAAAGUACAUACCUCAAAGAAAACGAUGACGCGAGUUAUCGUCUCUAACGUUCGAGGACUACAAAAAACACUCGGAUUGUAGGCAACAGUUUACUUCCUGGGAUUAGUGACGUAGAUAAGACCAACAUUAUCAUAGUUCAGCCCUCUCUGCUUUGCUUGGGUACGCCCUCAAAGACGGGGGUGGGGAGCGCCGAGUCAGAAGAGAGCUAAAAUGGCGGAGGUUGUGAGUCCCUGCUUUGACUCUGUUUGCAAACUCUUGUUUCAUUGUUUAAGCGAUUAAAUCUCUCGAGUAGACGCUGUCUCUUUAGAUGCGAGGGAAAAAUAGCACUUUAUGGACUUCCACAGAGGACAUCAUGUUUAAUACGGUUCCGGAAAAAUCCAGUCAGAAGUUGUUCACGGAGUUUUCACAAUAACUGCUUCUCAUGAACCGAAGCUGGAUUUGCACGACGUCUCCUCUUGAAAGUUGGAUUACUGUGCACUUCUGGAUCACAGGCUAUUCGCAGCUGGACACAUCCUUCUACACUGUAUGCAAACAUGCAACAUCAUAACACACAGUACAAGGAGUCAGACUGGCAUAUGAGGAGCAAAGGAACCCAGGCAGUAGCAUCGUUUCACAAUGUUUCCAUCACCAUCAUCAGUGGAUGCCUUUGCCGUCCGUAGCCUGAGAUUUCAGAUUUGCAG
This is a non-coding RNA of Paramisgurnus dabryanus, 731 nucleotides long. The record is from RefSeq and is a predicted model, not a curated record. Lineage: Eukaryota; Metazoa; Chordata; Actinopteri; Cypriniformes; Cobitidae.